RNAcentral lists this ribosomal RNA (440 nucleotides) under uncultured bacterium. Its description in RNAcentral is "SSU rRNA". It matches the Rfam family "Bacterial small subunit ribosomal RNA", at positions 370 to 808 of the family's 1533-position model. The record is from RNAcentral.
UAUGGACGAGAGUCUGAACCAGCCAGUAGCGUGAAGGAUGACUGCCCUAUNGGUUGUAAACUUCUUUUAUACGGGAAUAAAGUGAGGCACGCGUGCCUUUUUGUAUGUACCGUAUGAAUAAGGAUCGGCUAACUCCGUGCCAGCAGCCGCGGUAAUACGGAGGAUCCGAGCGUUAUCCGGAUUUAUUGGGUUUAAAGGGAGCGUAGGCGGACGCUUAAGUCAGUUGUGAAAGUUUGCGGCUCAACCGUAAAAUUGCAGUUGAUACUGGGUGUCUUGAGUACAGUAGAGGCAGGCGGAAUUCGUGGUGUAGCGGUGAAAUGCUUAGAUAUCACGAAGAACUCCGAUUGCGAAGGCAGCCUGCUAAGCUGCAACUGACAUUGAGGCUCGAAAGUGUGGGUAUCAAACAGGAUUAGAUACCCUGGUAGUCCAAGGGCGAAUUC